Molecule: ribosomal RNA, 548 nt
Filed under: Odontobutis obscura
Lineage: Eukaryota; Metazoa; Chordata; Actinopteri; Gobiiformes; Odontobutidae
Description: partial 16S rRNA
Rfam family: Bacterial large subunit ribosomal RNA
Source: RNAcentral
AGGUCCUGCCUGCCCUGUGACUCUAUGUUUAACGGCCGCGGUAUUUUAACCGUGCAAAGGUAGCGCAAUCACUUGUCCCUUAAAUAGAGACCUGUAUGAAUGGCAUAACGAGGGCUAAACUGUCUCCUUUCCCUAGUCAAUGAAAUUGAUUUACCCGUGCAGAAGCGGGUAUAAAACCGUAAGACGAGAAGACCCUGUGGAGCUUUCAGACAAAGGACAGAUUAUGUUAAAUGACCCCAUAAAGAGUCUUAAACCAAAUAACUUCUGUCCCUAUCUUUGGUUGGGGCGACCGCGGGGAAACAACCAACCCCCACGUGGAAUAAGUAUACUUCUACUUUAAAGCUAGAGCCACAGCUCUAAUAAACAGAACAUCUGACCAUACAAGAUCCGGCACUGCCGAUCAACGGACCAAGUUACCCCAGGGAUAACAGCGCAAUCCUCUUCUAGAGCCCGUAUCGACAAGGGGGUUUACGACCUCGAUGUUGGAUCAGGACAUCCUAAUGGUGCAACCGCUAUUAAGGGUUCGUUUGUUCAACGAUUAAAGUCCU